UAUCACGUAGUGUGAAACAGCUUAACGUUAAUGGUGACGCGUAUUUUGUUCCACAAUUUUAUUUGGUUACGAUCAUGUUAUCGUUUAAAUAAAAUUUAAUACUGUCAUUUAUACUAGAAGCUUCCCACUUUCCACCCUCUCUUUGGGCUGAGUGUUCUGUACAGGAUUUCUCGAAUAUAAAAUAACAGCGAAACUCACCAUAGUUAUAGAAACAAUAGUGUUCAUGCUAAUAGGAACGUGUCGAUCUCGACGUUACUCAACGUUUCGCUAGCGCCAUUCGUGAAUAUACUUAAUAGGACGAUUGCUACGACGUUGCAGAAAAUACUGUCGAUAUACAUAAAUACGUUCUGUAUAAAAAUGUCGAUGUUUGCACCCUGUCGCUUCAGCAAAUACUCAUUAUAUACACCAGCUAAGCAGGAGCAUGUUGUCUGUAAAGCAAGAUGUUUUUUAGAAAACAAUUGUGCCCCUUUAUUCAUACAGAUAUCAAUGAUAGGUGACUCACUUGUACAAGAAUUAGAAGUAGAAAAAUAUCUACAUGGAAUUCCGUGCCAAGGACGUGGGCGUCGAAGUGCUUUAUCAUGCAGCCAACUGUCAAGAUCACUAGAGAAAACCACUGUGUCAUGGAUAACUUUUUGUUAAAAAUGACCUAAAGGAAAUCAGAAUUCUUACAUCAUUUGUCACUCCUCUACAUAUGAAAACAGUAUUGUCAAUACCUGGAAAAUGAUUCCUGUAAGUACAACACGGAGUUGCAGUAGGACAUAAUAAGUUGUGGGGUCAAAUCUAGCCAAAUUGACAAAUGCUAGAUUGUUGUAGAGACAGUACAAAAGCGCGGGUAUCAUAUACAGCAAAAGCACUAAAAAUUUACAGAAACUUUUUUUAGUCUUUUUUGAUUCACAUUUUGAACAUUUAUAUAAGUUUUUAGAAAUCUCUAUCUCUAUUUUUAAUCUCACCCUUUUUAUUCUUUCUUGUCUCUUGGAGAAGUGUCAGGAUGCUAUUGCUAUAAGAUAAAUUAAUACCAAUUAAAAAAAUCUGGUCAGCUGUAUACAAAUUGUAAAUUUUUCAAUUGUUUUACUUACUCUUUCCAGUAGAGUGCCGUGGAUAUGACCAAUUUUAGAACCUCUGUCAUCAGCACAACUGCUACAAUAUUAUAUUCGUAGCGGCCACUUCUUUGAGACCAUGUUACAAGAAUACCUGUAGUAGAUUAUCACAAUUUGAUAUUGUAUUUUCAUAACAACUUACAUUUAAUUAAAAUCUAUUUUAUCUUGCCCAUUUGUUGUAACAAGGAAGAUGAGAACUGCUUAUAAAACAUGUGAUCAAAAUA
This is a long non-coding RNA of Solenopsis invicta (red fire ant), 1321 nucleotides long. RefSeq lists it as uncharacterized. The record is from RefSeq and is a predicted model, not a curated record. Lineage: Eukaryota; Metazoa; Arthropoda; Insecta; Hymenoptera; Formicidae. The transcript has 2 exons.